GCAGUGGUGGUUCAGUGGUAGAAUUCUGGCCUUCUGUGUGGGAGACCCCAGGGUUCAGGGUUUGAUUCCCAGCCAAUGUA
RNAcentral lists this transfer RNA (80 nucleotides) under Loxodonta africana (African savanna elephant). It matches the Rfam family "tRNA". From Rfam's summary of the family: Transfer RNA (tRNA) molecules are approximately 80 nucleotides in length. Lineage: Eukaryota; Metazoa; Chordata; Mammalia; Proboscidea; Elephantidae. The record is from Rfam by way of RNAcentral.